GUUCAAAAUAACGGCUCUCUCUCUCUCUCUCUCUCUCUCUCUCUCUCUCUCGUGCAAUUCUUCCCACCGCAGAACAGAGUCACCGCCCCUCAUCUGCCAAGAUCCGCCGCGCCUCCGGACUUCCGGCGAGGUCGCGCCUCGUCUCUGAACUCUGGCGCUGUUUCUCUCAACCAGCCCGCUUCCCUUUCUUCUAAUCAAGCCAGAUGCACACAUGCCGCUGCUCUCACUCUCUCAACACGCUUACUCACAUCCAUGUCUCCCUCUAUCUCGUUCUGACAAAACGCACACAAGGAAGCUCUAAUUUUUCCUUACACCAACUGAAUCAACAGCCGGCGAGGCAGAGGGGCCGGUGAGUGGCCGCCAUUUUUGUAUCCAGCCCUCUUCCCUAUCUCUCUCAAAUCUCGACUGAAACAGAGAAAGCUCUAACUCUCUCUCAAUUACACGCUCAAGGCAGAUGGGGGGUGAAGUUUUUGUGAAAGUAUUGGACUUGAGAGAUUUUAUGGAGAAAUAGUAAUCGAGCGCUCGCUGGUUUCUAUCCAGCGCUCGCUGCAACUCCAGCCGAUUCGCCCAGCUCGCAGGGUGCCCCAGCUGUUUCGCCCUGCUCGCGGGGUGUUCCAGCCGUUUCAUCUAGUGGACGGUCAAAUCCCAGCCACCAUUACAGCCGGCGCUCAAAUUCCCAGCUGGCACUCCAGCCGACGCUCAAAUCUCCAGCGAGCACUCAACUCCCUCGCUCAAGCCCAGCGGCGCUCAAUUACUCACUCAACACCCAGUGGCCGCUCACUUUUACCCAGCGCCCGCUGGGUGUGUUUCCUCACGCCUAGAGUAUAAAUAGAUUAUUUCUCUUUUCGCGAGGGCACACUUUUUCAGAUGCAGUUCUAACAAUUGUUCCAGAUGCCAGAUUUCCUAGUUAGGGUUAUUGCUUUGAUUUUCAUCCUGACGCCUAGAGUAAUUCAGUAGUUAGAGAUUUAUUUUCCAGUUAUCGUCAUUACUGUAAGUUUCCAUUUAUUGCCUAGAUAAAACUCUUAGAUUUAUGAUUUCAAUGCAGUAUCUGUUAUUUCUUCGAGUAUGCUCUUUAGAUUAAUUAUUAUAUACGAUUUAGAUUGCUGCCUAGAUAAUUGAUGUUUUAUUUAAAAACUCUAGCGUAGAAUUACAUGCUAUUUUAUUACUGCUUAUUUACAUUUGAUUUCCCCCUAGAUAGUUUUAAAUGCUUUAUUUCAAUUACGUGUUUGUUAAUGAGAGAGAGUGUCAGACACAAAAUAUUGAUUAGAGUGUUUAGGUUUAAUUUCUUGUUAAUUAUGUGCAACACGAGCGAACGCUCUGCUUAGCCUUCCUUGAGAGUACGACUUGGAUUAGCUUAUUCCACUCCAAUUGACCUCGUACGAUUGUGAGUCAAUUCGAUAGGUGUUUAGAGUUGAGUCAAAUUUUGGCGUUGUUGCCAGGGAAGGCUUUAGGCGUUUUAUUGUGUUGCUUUGUUUUAUGUGUUUAUUUUAUUUCUUUCUUUUGACUCGGUUAUUUUCUCCCUCCUAUGUUUGAUAAGAAAAUUGGUGCCCUAAGUCGACAACAUUAAUCGGCCUAGCGAGGUGUUUAGAAGUUACCGCAAAGAAGUGUUUAGAAACCGCAGGGAAGAGUUUGAGUCCAAUUCAAACAAUUCUGUGGAAAAUGUGCGUGAACGUGCAGAAAGUUUUUAUUCAAAGGCAAAGGUGCAGAUUGCCCCCUGAACUACACCUCCCCCCUAUAGCUUUUAGCCCCUCAUACUCAGUCAAAGUGAGUUGACCUCCCUGAACUCCCGAAAGAAGGGUGCAAAUAACACCCUCUGCUAAACUUUAAUUUUUUUAUUUAUUUGGGGUGGGCCCCACCCCAAAGGGUCAACCGAGGGGAGGUCGGCGCCGAGCUCGCUAGAUUUCGGGGAGGCCAUGGUGGAGUUUGGAAAUAUAGAUGGGAGAGAAGAACUCUUGUGCGCAGGCAACAACCUCGCUGAAAUUCAAAGAGAACAUGAGGCAUGGAACAACGAUUUCGCAGAAAGGGAGAUGAGAGGCUGAUUGAUUUUGAGGGCGACGCUGGUAAGGUGUCAGGGUGGGGCUGCGAGGAGGCGGCGAUUACCCGCCGAUUUUGAGAAAAAUGGUGAAUGGAGGCUGAUUUCCGUCGGAGAAGGGGAAGACGAACGAGAGUAGUCGACGGCGUGGCGAGAUGGCGCAAACUUCAGAUAAGGAAGGUGGUGUUAUGCCUUGGGAGAUGGAUAUGGAUAUUGGAGAUUUAGGGAGGAAUACAUUCUGAUUUUGGAUAAGAUGAAAUUUUCUGAAUCCAUUUUUUUUUUCUGUGGAGAUCUAUUUGUGGGCAUUUGGGUUUCCUUUACAGAGGAAAUGAAGAACGGACCGAGAUGAAUGAGGUGCCGGAAAAUUUCAGAAAAAGAUGGAUGAGCGGCCAUGGAUGCCGAAAACUGAAAGAAAGAGCUCGAUUAGGGCUCGUUUUUACAAGUAGAGUGCACCUGGAAUUGAGAAAUUGAGAGGAGUGAAGGAGGAGAUAGGAGCAGACGAAGGGAGAAACGCCGACGGCCGGGCGCGGCCUCGCUGGACUCAACCGCGACGGCCACCAGAUGAGAGAGAGAAGAUGACGCUUGAAAUAAAGAAAAAAAAAAUUAAGCAGUCGGCGUUUGAGCGCCGUUUAGCAGAUGGUGUUAUUUGCACCCUUCUUUCGGGAGUUCAGAGAGGUCAACGCGCUUUGACCGAGUAUGGGGGGCUAAAAGCUAUAGGGGGUGUAGUUCAGGGGGCAAUCUGCACCUUUGCUAUCAAAUACCAAUCUGGAGGACACUGCAGAUACUGACUGUUUACCUCAUUUUUGGUUGAUCAUUGCGGGUGUUGGGACGCACUGUUGAGCAUGCUUUGUGCAUAUUUGUAUUAUUUUAUACUUGCUCAAUGACUUUGUGUGCGUUCUUAUUAUUUUGUAGGGCGUCGUGGUAUUUUUGGCGUUUCGCGAAGUUUUUGUUGAUGUGUCUUAGAUCUCACUCUUCGCAGAGUUUGUACGGGGGCCUCCACGACCACCGCCGCCUCGGCGCCGCCCGCAGGCAGCACCGCUUGCCGCCCCGUAUCACUCGCUGGCCCAAUUCUGCGCAAGGGCUAGGCGGCUUUUUCACUGUAUUUUCUUAGAAUUUUGAUGGAAAGAAACAUACUAGGAACUUUUGGAUUACGCUAGAUCGUCGUUUACUUGAAUCGGUUGUAUGUACCAUCUAUUGAUUUGCUAGUUUCUACAAGCUUUCCUAGUAGUUUCUUUGCCUAGACAAUUGAGCAUGUUUAGAUAAUGAUAUUUAAUGUUGGUUUAUGCUUUUGUUAAUCCUAUCGCCUAGUUAGCGUAGUAUAUCGUUGUUUGAUUCAAUUGUUGAAUUCUCCGUUGGUUUUAUGUGGUGGAUUUCAUCUAUGCGUUCUUAGGAUUAAUGGUGAUUAAUGUUCUCUCUGAAUUUGGAUGCUUGUCCUUUUAUCUUGCCUAGAUAAUUGUUGCUUUCUAGAUUGUUAGAUUAGAACCUUAGCUCUUUAUGCUUUCUUAUUGUUUUCUUAUCUGCUUCCUAUUUAUCUCCUAGAUAACUUUUUAUGCUUAUUACAAUUACGCUUUAAUUAAUCGGUGAGAGAGUGUCAGACCCAAUCUUAUGAUUAGAGUAUUUAGGUUUAUUUCUUGUUUUCUGUGCGUAGCAUGAAUAAAGCUCUGUUUAGCCUUUCUUGUGAGAUGACUUGGGUUAGCUUACUACACUAGGACGACCUCGUACGAUUGUGAGUCAAUCCCUUAGGUAUUUUGGGUUGAGUCACUGACUCUAAUCAUUCUGAAAAGUCUAGAGGUGAUCAAACAGAAGAAGAAGAAGUGCAAUCCAAUCACGACAGAGAAGAAAUGGCAGUAAGAAAUCUGCAGUACAUGGGAGAUUUUACCCAGCCUGUCAUUGAGGCUACGAGUUCAGCUAUAGUUCUUCCUACGGCCACGAGUUGACGCCGAACGAUUCAAACUUACUUCCACUCUUUUACGGGCUGCCUAUUGAAGAUGCUCUGACGUUUAUCCGAGAUUUCUGCACCCAGGUGCAGACCUUCCUGCUUUUGGAUAUCACAGAAGAUCAGCUGAAGCUUAAAUGCUUCCAGUAUGCUCUGAAGGAUAGGGUAAGGACGUGGCUGUUAUCCCUGCCGCCAAACUCCAUUACUACUUGGGGAGAGGCAUGCGAAAAAUUUAUGCUGAGGUUUUAUCCCAAUCACAAGACAUAGGAGAUUCGUACACAGAUUAUGAAUUUCAUCCAAGGAGCUGAUGAGUCAUUCCAUGAGCGUGGGAAAGAUUUCAAGAGCUGCUCCGGCAAUGCCCACAGCAUCAGCUGCCUCCUGUCAUGUUGAGCCAGUUUUUCUAUGAUGGACUGAUCCACACAACUCAAUUCAUGGUGGACAACACUACUGGGGGAAACAUAGCCAGGAAGACAGCUGCAGAGCUCAAUCGGAUUUUCCAGACUCUAGCUGAGAGUUCCCAACAAAAGUCGACCUGUGGACGACGGGUUGAAGCGAGUGCAAUGGCACCGAAUUAUGAGCUACAAAAGCAGAUGGCCGAGAUGAUGAGUAAGCUGCAGCAGCUAAAGAUGAGCAAGGCAGAAAUUUCUCCUGUCCGAGAGCAGAAUAUAGAAAGCUGUAGAAUCUGUGGUGAUUUUGGCCAUGGAAUUAAUAAGUGUCACAUAAUGGGAGAAUACACACCAGAAGGACAAGCUGAAGUUUAUGCUGCUCAAGUAUAUUCAAACAGACCGCAGUUUAAUCAAGGGCAACAAAAUUUAAAUUCUGGUUGGAGGAGUCAAGCUCCUAGGGGGGUCAAGAUCAAAUCAAGGAAAGCAGUUUCGCAGACCUCCACAGCAAAUGGGGUAUCACAAUCAGCAGCAGAAUUUCUUUCCACCGCAGCAGAAUUUUCCUCAGCAGUACAAUUAGGAUUUUAUGUAGCAGAAUAAUUUUGAGCCCCAACAGCAGCAGUACCAACACUCGGGACCAUCAUUUGAGGAUACGAUGUAGACAUUUAUGCAAGCUAGCAAGCAAGCGAUGAAGGCUUAGAGUGCUACCAUCAAGCGCCUCAAGACUACAGUUGGGCAACUCACGAGGGCUUUAAAUCAGCUGCAGCAGCAGCCAACUGGAAAGUCCUCCACUCAGGGCCAACAGCUACAUCAAGCUCAUACUAUUGAAAUUGUCAAAGAAGAUGCCCCAAGGAUAAAGGGAUUUGAUGUUUUGCCUCAAAGAGUGGAGCGUGAUAGGGAAGGUUUUCAGUAGGGAAACUUGGGGAAAGACACCAUUGGAAAAUGGAGAAGCAAAACCGUGGAAGUAAUUAAAGCUAUCCAAUGUCCCAGCAAGCCUCUGCCACCUGUCACUGCUGAUCCAACCCAACCACUACCGAAGCAAGAAGAUCCUGGCAGCUUCAUUUUUGGUAUUGGUUUGGGUGGACUUGAGGAGGUCUCAGGAAUGCUCAAUUUGGGUGCGGAAGUCAAUUUGAUGCCACUUGACAUUUUUUAGAAGCUGGGCAGGAAGGAAGACGAGUUGAAGUGCACUGAUAUGAAAAUAGAGCUAGCUGACGGCUCUAUUAACAGCCCACGAGGACUUGUGGAAGAUGUGGAAGUCGUAGUGUAAGGGAUUAAAGUGUUAGUGGAUUUUUUGGUGCUCGAUGCGGGCACGGGAAUUAGAGGAGAGAAUGUUCAUCUCGUUUUGCUUGGCCGACCUUUCAUGGCCACCACUCAUACUCGCAUUGACGUGGGACCUAGAACAUUGAGUAUGGCUGGGUCAGGUAGAUCGGUUACAUUCUCAGUUUUUGAUAAGAAACCUAUUACUCCUAAUCUAUCAUUGCAGCAUUAUUCUUAUGUUGAGAUAUUUUAUGUUGUGGAGGAGGAUCGCAUUGUGUAGGAAUUUCUUGAUAAGUUGCAGGAUGAAGACGACAUUAAGCAAGACUUCCUUGCUAACUUGCAAGAUGAGAUGACUAUUGAAGAAGAAUUUCUGGACAAGCUGCAGCAAGAAGAUAAUUUGGUGGAAGAGGAUAUUGUACAAGAAUUCCUAGCUAACUUGCAAGAGGAGGCAGCCAUUGAAGAAGAAUUACUGGACAUGCUGCAACAUGAGGAUGAUUUAGUGCAAGAUUUGCAGUGUGCACUUCAUAUCGACGAGAAAGAAGAGAUGAGCUUUGAACUUGGCUCCCAAAGAGGUGUUAAAGUGAGAUCAAUUGAUGCUAUGAGCGUAGUAUACUCAUCAGGAGUGCCCACAACUGCAUUGAAAGAUGAUGUACUGACACAUGAAAUAAAGCAGUUGAAGCUUCAAUCGGACUUUGGUUAUGGGUUCCUUUUAGUCGGGCUGGCGACUUUAAAACUAGCGUUGCAUGGGAGGCAACCCAUGAUUUUUCUUAGUUUCCUUUGUUUUUGUUUUUCUUUUGCUUUGUUUGAUUUUUGUUGGGUUAUGUCCUUGGUGUAUGGUGCAGGUUCUGUGCUUUUGGGAUUGACAUCUUGUGUGGAUGAGAAACAUGCAUGGCAAUGCGGAACUCCAUGGACUCAUCUCCUUGAUUGAUAUUUCAGGGAAGUGUUUCUCUUACAAUCUUAUUUCAGGCAGUGUUUUGCUCUAAGUGGGGGGAAGGAGAAGGGAGAGCCUUGGUUUUAUUGAUUUUGGUAAAUACGGGAGAGUUUCUUUGUGUGUUUCAUUGGUUGGGAAAAUGGUCCCCUUGCAUUUAGUGGAUGCUUAAAAUUGAGCUUGUUUGUAUUAAUCCUUUGAAGUUGUGGUUCUCAAUGUGAUAUUCGGGUUUGUGCCGAUUGGUGGCUGUUCUUGUUGUUCUCUUAUGCAUAUCUCUUGAUUGGUGUGAUGAAUUAGAAGUUUUUGUUGCAACACAUUUGUAAGCAGUUGAGACGUGAUUUGUCCGGUAGAUGCUAGAGGGAGUGUUGUCAGUGUGAUUGCCUACGAUCUUAUCUUGAUGUUAUAAAGUUUUGUGAAUGUUGAAAUAUUUGACAGCUCUGAGUCUCUACUCCUCUAGUGUUACUAUGAGCAUGAGAAACUGCGUGGGAAGACUUUGGAUUACCUCCAAAAGGCUUGAUCUCACAAAUUAUGGCUUAACUGUUGAAAAUGAAAGAUAAAGUUCUUAAGAGAAUUGAAAAAUGGUGAAAAUAUAACAGUGAAAACAUAAGAUAAUGAUUAUAAAGGCGAUCACAUUAGUGAAUUCACUUCUAGCGGAGAAUUGAGUCUGAUCGAAUCAUUUGUAUUAUAAUGGUGUUGCUUCUUAAAACUUUUACUUACACCAUUUGAGAGAUAUGUGUUGAGUGAAAAACUUGAAUUGGUUUGUUGAAUAUUUGGUUGGAAUCGAACAUUGUGAACCAUUUCUUCGUUUGAUUUAUAUGGAUUUUGUUUGAGGACAAGCAAAAGGCUAAGUGUGGGUUGAUGCUUAAUUGUUACUGUUUUGGGGAAAUUUAUGAUUGCAAUUUUAGUUUUUAUUUGCUUGAUUAGUGAGUGUUUGUGAUGAGUGGAUUACAUUUUGCAGGGGAGUGAAGUUGUUGUGAAAGUAUUGGACUUGAGAGAUUUUAUGGAGAAAUAGUAACCGAGAGUUCGCUGGUUUCUGUCCAGCGCUCGCUGGAACUCCAGCCGUUUCGCCCAGCUCGUGGGGUGUUCCAACUAUUUUGCCCAGCUCGCGGGGUUUCCCAACCGUUUCGCCCAGCUCGCGGGGUGUCCCAGCCAUUUAUCCCAGCUCGCGGGGUGCCCCAUCCGUUUCGCCCACUCGUGGGGUGUCCCAGUCGUUUCGCCCAGCUCGUGGGGUGCCUAGCUCGCAGGGUGUUCCAGCCGUUCCCAGCCACCAUUACAAUCGGCGCUUAAAUUCCCAGCCGGUGCUCCAGCCACCAUUACAGUCGGUGCUCAAAUCCCAGCCACCAUUCCAGCCUUUCCUCACGCCUAGAGUAUAAAUAGAUUAUUUCUCUUUUCGCUAGGGCACACUUUCCCAUACGUAGUUCUAGCGAUUGUUCCAGACACCAGAUUUCCUAGUUAGGGUUAUUGCUUUGAUUUUCAUCCUGACGCCUAAAGUAAUUCAGUAGUUAGAGAUUUAUUUUCCACUUAUCGUCAUUACUGUAAGUUUCCAUUUAUUGCCUAGAUAAAACUCUUAGAUUUAUGAUUUCAAUGCAAUAUCUGUUAUCUCUUCGAGUAUACUCUUUAGAUUAA
Molecule: long non-coding RNA, 8162 nt
Organism: Salvia miltiorrhiza (redroot sage)
Lineage: Eukaryota; Viridiplantae; Streptophyta; Magnoliopsida; Lamiales; Lamiaceae
Exons: 2
Source: RefSeq, a predicted model, not a curated record